This 71-nucleotide transfer RNA is filed under the name Ictidomys tridecemlineatus (thirteen-lined ground squirrel). Its description in RNAcentral is "Spermophilus tridecemlineatus (thirteen-lined ground squirrel) tRNA". It matches the Rfam family "tRNA". From Rfam's summary of the family: Transfer RNA (tRNA) molecules are approximately 80 nucleotides in length. Their secondary structure includes four short double-helical elements and three loops (D, anti-codon, and T loops). RNAcentral also lists the same sequence under 1 other name. Lineage: Eukaryota; Metazoa; Chordata; Mammalia; Rodentia; Sciuridae. The record is from Rfam by way of RNAcentral.
UGGGUGGAGCUCAGUGGUAAAGUGCUUGCCUCACAUGCAGAAGGCCCUGGGUUCCAUCCCCAGCAUCACAA